RNAcentral lists this ribosomal RNA (482 nucleotides) under uncultured bacterium. Its description in RNAcentral is "partial 16S ribosomal RNA". It matches the Rfam family "Bacterial small subunit ribosomal RNA", at positions 30 to 507 of the family's 1533-position model. The record is from RNAcentral.
AUUGAACGCUGGCGGCAUGCCUUACACAUGCAAGUCGAACGGUAACAGGUCUUCGGAUGCUGACGAGUGGCGCACGGGUGAGUAAUACAUCGGAACGUGCCCGAUCGUGGGGGAUAACGAAGCGAAAGCUUUGCUAAUACCGCAUACGAUCUACGGAUGAAAGCGGGGGAUCUUCGGACCUCGCGCGGACGGAGCGGCCGAUGGCAGAUGAGGUAGUUGGUGGGAUAAAAGCUUACCAAGCCGACGAUCUGUAGCUGGUCUGAGAGGAUGAUCAGCCACCCUGGGACUGAGACACGGCCCAGACUCCUACGGGAGGCAGCAGUGGGGAAUUUUGGACAAAGGGCGCAAGCCUGAUCCAGCCAUGCCGCGUGCAGGAUGAAGGCCUUCGGGUUGUAAACUGCUUUUGUACGGAACGAAAAGGUGCCUUCUAAUAAAGGGCGCUCAUGACGGUACCGUAAGAAUAAGCACCGGCUAACUACGUG